This 254-nucleotide ribosomal RNA is filed under the name uncultured bacterium. Its description in RNAcentral is "partial 16S ribosomal RNA". It matches the Rfam family "Bacterial small subunit ribosomal RNA", at positions 524 to 776 of the family's 1533-position model. The record is from RNAcentral.
UACAUAGGGGCCAAGCGUUGUCCGGAUUUAUUGGGCGUAAAGAGCUCGUAGGCGGUUCGGCAAGUCGAAUGUGAAAUCUCCACGCUCAACGUGGAGGGGUCAUUCGAAACUGCCGUGACUCGAGUCCGGUAGGGGAGUGUGGAAUUCCCGGUGUAGCGGUGAAAUGCGCAGAGAUCGGGAGGAACACCCGUAGCGAAGGCGGCACUCUGGGCCGUGACUGACGCUGAGGAGCGAAAGCGUGGGGAGCAAACAGG